UGGGCUGUUCGCCCAUUAAAGCGGUACGCGAGCUGGGUUCAGAACGUCGUGAGACAGUUCGGUCCCUAUCCGUCGUGGGCGUAGGAAAUUUGAGAGGAGCUGUCCUUAGUACGAGAGGACCGGGAUGGACAUACCUCUGGUGUACCAGUUGUCGUGCCAACGGCAUAGCUGGGUAGCUAUGUAUGGACGGGAUAAGUGCUGAAAGCAUCUAAGCAUGAAGCCCCCCUCAAGAUGAGAUUUC
This 241-nucleotide ribosomal RNA is filed under the name Staphylococcus epidermidis. RNAcentral describes it as "partial 23S ribosomal RNA". It matches the Rfam family "Bacterial large subunit ribosomal RNA", at positions 2572 to 2813 of the family's 2925-position model. Lineage: Bacteria; Bacillati; Bacillota; Bacilli; Caryophanales; Staphylococcaceae. The record is from RNAcentral.